This 301-nucleotide ribosomal RNA is filed under the name uncultured bacterium. Its description in RNAcentral is "partial 16S ribosomal RNA". It matches the Rfam family "Bacterial small subunit ribosomal RNA", at positions 509 to 809 of the family's 1533-position model. The record is from RNAcentral.
CAGCCGCCACGGGAAUACGUAGGUGGCAAGCGUUGUCCGGAAUUAUUGGGCGUAAAGGGCUCGCAGGCGGUUUCUUAAGUCUGAUGUGAAAGCCCCCGGCUCAACCGGGGAGGGUCAUUGGAAACUGGGAAACUUGAGUGCAGAAGAGGAGAGUGGAGUUCCACGUGUAGCGGUGAAAUGCGUAGAGAUGUGGAGGAACACCAGUGGCGAAGGCGACUCUCUGGUCUGUAACUGACGCUGAGGAGCGAAAGCGUGGGGAGCGAACAGGAUUAGAUACCCCAGUAGUCCCUGUCUCUUAUAA